CCAUGAUCUUUAGCGGCGUUU
This 21-nucleotide microRNA is filed under the name Gossypium raimondii (Peruvian cotton). RNAcentral describes it as "gra-miR7492f". Lineage: Eukaryota; Viridiplantae; Streptophyta; Magnoliopsida; Malvales; Malvaceae. The record is from miRBase by way of RNAcentral.